GAGGGUAUAGUUUAGUGGUAGAGUGCAUGCCUAGCAUGCACAGUGUCUUGGGUUCAAUCCCCAGUACCUCUA
Molecule: transfer RNA, 72 nt
Filed under: Camelus bactrianus (Bactrian camel)
Lineage: Eukaryota; Metazoa; Chordata; Mammalia; Artiodactyla; Camelidae
Also listed under: 2 other names
Rfam family: tRNA
About the family: Transfer RNA (tRNA) molecules are approximately 80 nucleotides in length.
Source: Rfam by way of RNAcentral